RNAcentral lists this unclassified non-coding RNA (182 nucleotides) under uncultured Arachnopeziza. RNAcentral's name for it is "sequence contains ITS1". Lineage: Eukaryota; Fungi; Ascomycota; Leotiomycetes; Helotiales; Hyaloscyphaceae. The record is from RNAcentral.
GAAUGAGAUUCGGUCUGAGGGUGUAAAAACCUUAGGGCUGUCAACCUCCACCCUUGUGUAUCAUUCAAUUGUUGCUUUGGUGGGCCGCGACCCGUACGGGGAGCACCGGCUUCGGCUGGAGAGUGCCUGCCAGAGGACCCCAACUCUGUAUUUUGUAACAUCUGAGUACUAUACAAUAGUUA